GUUUAAACUCAUUCAUGAGUUAUGCCUAUAUGUCCUCUCAGCUUCUCAAAGACAGGAUCUUAUACGUGCAACUCUGUCUGCGUUGCAUGCCUAUCUUUCCUGGAUUCCAUUGGGUUAUAUUUUUGAGUCUCCUUUGCUUGAGACCCUCCUUAAAUUUUUUCCUGUUCCAGCAUAUAGGAACCUCACUCUUCAAUGUCUGACUGAGGUUGCAGCUCUUAAUUUUGGGGACUUCUACAAUG
This is a non-coding RNA of Camelina sativa (false flax), 239 nucleotides long. The record is from RefSeq and is a predicted model, not a curated record. Lineage: Eukaryota; Viridiplantae; Streptophyta; Magnoliopsida; Brassicales; Brassicaceae.